GAUUGUAGUCUGCAACUCGACUACAUGAAGCUGGAAUCGCUAGUAAUCGCGAAUCAGAAUGUCGCGGUGAAUACGUUCCCGGGUCUUGUACACACCGCCCGUCACACCAUGGGAGUCGGAUAUGCCCGAAGUCAGUGACCCAACCUUUUGGAGGGAGCUGCCGAAGGUGGAGCCGAUAACUGGGGUGAAGUCGUAACAAGGUACC
Molecule: ribosomal RNA, 205 nt
Filed under: uncultured bacterium
Lineage: Bacteria
Description: partial 16S ribosomal RNA
Rfam family: Bacterial small subunit ribosomal RNA
Source: RNAcentral